CCUGUCUCUACUAAAAAUACAAAACAAUUAGCCGGGCGUGGUGGUGGGCGCCUGUUAUCCCAGCUACUUGGGAGGCUGAGGCAGGAGAAUCACUUGAACCCAGGAGGUGGAGGUUGCAGUGAGCCGAGAUCACACCAUUGCACCCCAGCCUGGGCAACAAGAGUGAAACUCCAUCUCAAAAAACAAAAAACAAACAAAAAAGAAGCUUCUGGAAAUAAGCCCGUGGGUCCUCAGGGCAGGUGCUGAGCACAUGUGUGCUGGACAUGCUGCAGAUCAGGCAGGGGAACCAGGGGAAAGACUCUUCCAAGCCCCACCACUGCCACCUUCCACAGUGCCCUGCUUUUGCCCUCGAAGCUCGCUGAAGGGGACCCAUCUCUGCAAGCCCACAGCCCUACCUGCAGCAUCCACAGCCUCAGAGAGCAGCGGGGCCCCUUACCCCUGAACCCCCUCCAAGAGCAUCAGGACAACAAGCCUUGAGCUGUGGAGACAAGAGAAUCAGUAUCCCUGGCCCAGGGAGGAUUCCAGGAGAGGACACGGGCAGGAGCCCUGGCCCAGAGCCAGAACCAAGAGUCCAGCCAGCGAAACUGGAACUAGGGUCCCCGGCACCCAGGACUCUGCGAGCAUCCCCCAACAGCAAGCCCUUCUGCAAGGGAGACGGGUUGGCCCACCCCAGGCUGUCCAGCUCCAGCAGCCUUGCAGGCAGCCUCUCCAGAAAAAGAGCCUGGUCCUCCCCACCCUGCUCCCCACAGGCUGUCCCUGACCCUGAGGCCCAGAGGCACAAGAGGACUUCUGUAGAGCCCAGGGGAGCAGGCUGUUCUCUUGGGGCCCCAGCGGGCUCAAGGUGUGGCCAGGCUGUCCCCAACUCAGGAUAGAUCAUAGGCUGUCCUGCGUACCUCCUCUGGAACUCCCUGCCCAAGCUCUGCCAUGGACCUGGACGUCAGGGGCCUGUGGUUUAACUUUGAAUAGGGAUUCUGGACCUUACACGUGUGCCCUGGACAGCCCCAGAACCAUGGGGUGGGGACCGACCCAGCAAGCCCACCGGGGCCCUGAAACCCGGCCCUGCCGGACACUGUGAUAAUAACCAAGAGGCAAGUCCAGAGACAUCCACUUUGCCCAAUGGCACCUGCAUCCAACUUCUCAGCAGGCAGUGACUGGCAUGGUGUGGGGGCAGCCGGGGCAGCACCUGGCCAGCACCUGGCCAGCUGCCCUGUAGCCCCCGAUGGCUCCAGUGCCUCUGGACCUCAUUUUCUACUUUCUACGGGGAAACCUACUCCCUCAGAGGCCACCAGAGGGAAGAGUGAGCAAGGCGUUCCUGCAGUCCCGACCAGCCAGCGGCAUGUCCUGUGGCCUCUGACUCAACCUAUGAGACAGAGCUCUGAUCCCAGGGCACACUUCCCAGGACACGGGGCCCAGCCUCAACCAGAGCCCUGUGAAGGGAGGGGCACCAGGAUGACCACAUGGGGGACCAUGGCGCUGCACACCUGGGCACUGUACUUCUCAUUGGAGAAUCCAGGCAAGAUCUUGAAGCAGGUGCAUGAGGUCCUGAGCCUGUGCAGCAAACAGCACUCAUCUGGGGUUGGCACGAAGGGGUCUACAGAGCCACGGCCACCGCAGCCUCUUCCCGGCCCCAUCUGUGCAGUGCAAGUGAUCCACGCCUGCUCCUAAACCCAGCCCAGCAAGCAGCAGCAGCCCGGGCCCCCAAGCCCGCCAGGCCAAUGUGCUGCCCAGAGGCUUCGAGGCCCUGCCCGCUGUACCUCCCACCACCUGGAAGCUGCCUCCUGACGCCUUCCAGCCACUGCUGCAGCCGCAACAGGUGUCGCGGCCAGUGCAGGCUUUCCAGACGGUGGCAGCGCCCAGCAGCCGUUGCCUCAGCUCUUUGGUGGCAGCCAGGCCAACAAGGGCAGCAACGAUGACUAGGAUGAUGAGUGAGCAAACAGCUCCACACUGGUGGACAGGCUGGGUGCGCACCCGGUGGUCCUCAAAGGCUCGCUGGGCCUGUACCACCGUUAUAAAUUUGAGAUCAUGAGAUUAUACCGUUUGCCUUCUUGCUUUUUGAAGUACGAGUAUUUUUAUGCACACUUUGUAGACUUCAAAAUCCAUGAAGAGUCUCAAAGAAGCCGGAUGGAUGGAGCCUGCUGCGGAUGCCUUUUACUCUCGUAGAUCAGGGUGAUUUACAUUCCACCUGUAGUCUGCUUGCAAACACACAGAGCAGCCUUGCAGCUUUGUGCCUUUAGACUCUUGGUUUUGCAUUUCUCCCUGCUCCCUUCUUCCUUCCAGUAAGCUGCAACUUUUCUGAUUGAAAGGGUGCAAGGCUAACACACGGAAUGACUAACUCAGGAUCACAUACUGGCAGUGGGAGAGGCAGGAGGAGCAGCUGCCAUCAAUUGCCAGGGCCAAGUGGAUGAUAGGAUGGAUGCUGGUGCAUGCGGAGGAGGCAGACGCAACGCUCAUCUCUAAUAAUGAUGUCUGUUCCCUCAGAGGCGGCUAGAGCAUCACCUCUUCACGCAAGUGUCUUGAAACUCAGCUUGAAGAUUUCAGCAAAUGUGUCUUACAGAGAAGAGAAGAGGGAGUCAGCCCAUCGGGAUUAAAAAUAUAGAGGCAGUGACAACACACACUCGGCUUCAGUUCUUAGGAGAGUUUUGGUUUUGAUUUUUUUUUUUUUUUUGGAGAAGAUUUUUUUUUUAAUGGAUCUACACUGUUAACUGAGACUCUGUUGAGAUUCACUGGUUUACUUAAAAACUUCUCAGGGAUGUCUGUAAAUUUCAGUGUUAUAUGUCAUGAAAACUGGUGUGGGCAGAUCUGUUGGUUGAAAUAAUUUCUACUGUUUCAAAUACUGAAGGCAGGAAUAAUUGGUUUAUACUGUGUUUUAAAUAGAAGUAUUACUGGUAAGUCCCCCAGGACAUUAAACCUUAAAAAUCAGUUUUAAGCUAUUAUUAUUGUAAGAGAAAUACAAAUGGCUGGAAAAUGCCACAGAGAUUCAAAAGCUGCUUAAUUGAAAGAGCAGGAAGGGAUUCUGGCUUGCAAUGCCAAAGUUUCAAUGUUUUUGUAGUUACUGAGCUAAAUCAUAUGGUAAUUGACAGUUUCUAAAUCUGUCACCUAAAGGUUAAAUUAUCUACUGUUGCCGUGAAGUCAAACUUACUGCUGCCUCAGAAAUCCCUGGGUACCGCGAUGGUCAUACAGAAGUAAGGAAGUCAAUUUGAAAUGUCAGUGAGUCAAAAUGAUUAAAGAGGCCAGGUGCAGUGGCUCACGCUUGUAAUCCCAGCACUUUGGGAGGCUGAGGCAGUGGAUUGCUUGAGUCCAGGAGUUUGAGAUCAACCUGUGCGACAUGGCAAAACCCUGUCUCUACAAAAAAUACAAAACAAAUUUAUCCAGACCUAGUGGUGCGCGCCUGUAUAGUUCCAGCUAGGGGGCUGAGGUCGGGGGAUGGCCUGAGCCUGGGAAGUCAGGGCUGCAGUGAGCCGAGAUGGCACCACUGCACUCUGGCCUGGGUGACACAGCCAGACCCUGCCUUAAAAAAAAAAAAAAAAAAAAAAAAGAUUUAAAAAACGGUCUGUUUAUUUAAAAAGAAAAGUGAAAUAAUGCCCAACAGUACAUUUACUCUCUUUUCAGGCUGGGUGCGCUGGCUCACGCCUGUAAUCCCAGCACUUUGGGAGGCCAAGGCAGGCAGAUCACCUGAGGUCAGGAGUUCGAGACCAGCCUGGUCAACAUGGCAAAACCCCGUCUCUACUAAAAAUAUAAAAAUUAGCCAGGCAUGGUGGUGCAAGCCUAUAAUCACAGCUACUUGGGAGGCUGAACCAAGAGAAUCACUUGAACCCAGGAGGUGGAGGUUGCAGUGAGUUGAGAUCACGCCACUGCACUCCACCUGGGCAACAGAGUAAGACUCUGUCUCAAAAAAAUAAUAAUAAUAAUUUCAUAUGGGUUAAAUUUUAAGGUCAGAUGAUCACAAUUUUGAUAUUUUGUCUAAUUUUAUACCUUAGGUGACUUAGAGCCUGAUUUAACGUGACUUUGUCUUGACUACGGAUACGUGGAACUGCAGCCAAAUAUAUUGUUCUGUUUUUAAAAAACAACAAAAAAAAAACCUGCUUCAGUUACUAGGACUGAAGAAAACUGGGCAAAGGGGGGCCCAGGAGGCUAGGUCCCUACAUCUGCCAUUCUUGGCAGCUGCAUUUCACGGUUAGAAAAACUCAGGAAAUAGCCGGGCGUGGUGGCUCACGCCUGUAAUCCCAGCACUUUGAGAGGCCGAGGCAGGUGGAUCACCUGAGGUCAGGAGUUCGAGACCAGCCUGGCCAACAUGGG
RNAcentral lists this long non-coding RNA (4296 nucleotides) under Homo sapiens (human). RNAcentral describes it as "non-protein coding LINC00661:24". The record is from RNAcentral. Lineage: Eukaryota; Metazoa; Chordata; Mammalia; Primates; Hominidae.